GGUCGAACGGUUGCCUGAAUGUUUUUUCUAGUCGUCACCGCACUUUUGGGGUUGCAGUUAGCAUGGUGGGUUGAUGGACGCAGUGCUGUGGGAGGCAAGUGAAGAAUCAUAAACGAACAAAACGGACAACAACGCAGCAGUUCCAAAAGCUGGUUGCAAUUAUGGAAAACAAUCCAGACGUCGCUAGAGGAAUGGGAAGCUUCGGUUCCACGAAGAAAAUCAGGGCAGAGCUGUGGGAAAAUUCGCAACUGAACUUAACGCUAUUGGUCCUCCAAUGCGUAACGGACGCGAGUGGAAUAAGGUAAGAACUGAACUAGUUUGUGUUGCCGUAGUUACUUAUGAGUACUAUUUAGGUUUGGUUGGAUUACAAGCUAAAGC
Rhagoletis pomonella (apple maggot) is the source of this 378-nucleotide long non-coding RNA. RefSeq lists it as uncharacterized. NCBI's taxonomy places the organism in Eukaryota, Metazoa, Arthropoda, Insecta, Diptera, Tephritidae. The transcript is spliced from 2 exons. The record is from RefSeq and is a predicted model, not a curated record.